UACGUAGGGGGCAAGCGUUGUUCGGAAUUACUGGGCGUAAAGGGCGCGUAGGCGGCACAGCAAGUCGGGAGUGAAAGCCCGGGGCUCAACCCCGGAAUGGCUUUCGAAACUGCUGAGCUAGAGUACAGAAGGGGCAACCGGAAUUCCCAGUGUAGCGGUGAAAUUCGUAGAUAUUCGCAAGAACACCAGUGGCGAAGGCGGCUCACUGGCCCGGUACUGACGCUGAGGUGCGAAAGCGUGGGGAGCAAACAGG
This 253-nucleotide ribosomal RNA is filed under the name uncultured bacterium. Its description in RNAcentral is "partial 16S ribosomal RNA". It matches the Rfam family "Bacterial small subunit ribosomal RNA", at positions 524 to 776 of the family's 1533-position model. The record is from RNAcentral.